UAACAGUAAGUAAAUUAGGCCAAAGAGUUUCUGGGAUUCCUAGGGAAAAGAUUACACUUUCAGAGUGGCCAAUCACAGUCAUCUGCUUCGCACGCUUUCAUAAAGUGAAGAGUCAUGGAAUAAAGUUGGAUCAAAUGGAAGAUAUGAACCAUAAUGAGGUUCUUUACAGUCUCGCUGCCGCAUCUCAUCCAAAACAUCCUUGAGAAGCAAAGUCUGCUCAGUGAUUUGGGACGAGAGGGCAGCAAGCUGGCGAGAUGUACUAUUCUGAGCAGCGAUCAGCUGUUUCAGGAAGUCGCAGUUGCUGAAUGGACCUGCUGCCCCGUCACCUUGCUCAUUAUUCGCCGGUGCAGAAAUACCCAAUUUCCUUCUGCACGAGCAAUCUGAUUUAGAAGAAAUGUUAAUUAAACUCCUUAUUUAAAAAUCACACUACAAUCCAUCACCUGCUGCUCUUCCACAGUACUAAAGCAAUCAUUAAAUAAAGAACGUAGCCAGGUCAAUACCAUCCUCCCAGUUCACACUCAUCUCUUUAAAUAUUAAAUAUGACUGAGCUUGGUCACAUUUCUAGUUUCCACUUGCAUUAUUUUUACAGAUGAGAGUUCUAUUAUUUGGCACAGCUGUAAUCCAAACUACAUUGUGGAUUAAAAAAAUAAAAUUGUGAUGAUAAUCAUCCAAUACACCGAGGGGAAAUAAGAAUUUGGACACUUUUGUUUUUGUUAUUUAAUAUAUUCCAGUGCAUAUAUUCUCACACAGCGGACCUCCUUUAUCAAGCAGGACACGAACGGAUUUAUGCGCAAAUCAUUCACAUGAAAUUUGGUUUUCAUGAAAAUCCAAUGGAUGCUAUAAAAAAAAAAAGCUUUCGUAUCACACUCGUGCUCUCAAGUGCGUGUACAUUUACACAUAAGAAGACUAACUAAUGUAAACCUUGACUUGAUCGACUUCAAUCAUAAUUUGCAUGGAUUACUGGACUUUUAUAUCUGGAAUAUACUGUCGAGUUUAAAUUGCUUUAUUUUAUUUUUUUUAUGUUUACCACGUUUAGUAAACGUCCUUAUCCAGAGUAACUUAUCGAAGUGUUUUGGAGUCUCUAUAAGGGAUGGACGAUGUGUACUUAAAACUAGACCACGAUAUUUUCUGGUAUUUUAUUGCGAUAACGAUAUCAGUGACGAUAUCAAUAUAGUAUCAUGCACCACUGUUUUCGGCUACAGGUGAUAGCUGUGCUCUUGAGAGCCUCAGAAACGCAAACAGUGAUCUAAAACUAAAACAAAUUUUCUCUAACCAAACCAGUUCCAGAUUGUAGAGGUACAGUAGCUCCUCGUUGAGCCAUAAACUCCUCCUCAGCUUCACAUCCGCUUCCGCCGUAUUUGUUUUCGCUCUGCACGUGAGCUGCGAACGGGUUGCAGACCGCCGCAUGCAGAAACACGUCAUCGACUAGGCUUUAUCAUGAUCAUCACUAGAAGACUGAUUCUUAUUGUGGGGAGAAUUUCAACCGGUAUAUCGCAAACGAUCCAUCCCAUCCCUAAUCUCUAUGAAGAACACAUCCUCAUGCUAGUUCAUUAAGUCAGGGACUACGAGUACCAUUGAGAACAUUUUGUGAAAACCAGUUGUUUUAUAUUCUUUAAUUAAUGCCAAUAAUAUAAAAGAAUAAUGAAAGCAAGCUAACACAGGAGAUGAGGUCAUAGGUACCCUGAAGAGGAUAAGCAGUAUAGUAGAUGGAUGGAUGGAUGGAUGAGGUCAUAGGUAAAGUUUCCUUCUGAUGACUCUUCCAUGCAGAUCAUGUGUAUGCAAGCAAUGCUGCUGAGAAGAACAGUGCACCACCACUCCUGUGUCAGCAAAACCAAGUCCUUAGUGUCAUAUUUGGGUUUCGCUUUACCUUUCUACCCAGCAUACAGCCAGUUCUAUAUAAAGUUUUCCUUUUGCUCCUAUGCUCUGAGAACAAACCAAACUUCCAUCACCAUCCCAAGCCAAAUUACAUUAGCCGAAUCUCUGAACAAGUUAAAGGCGCACACAGUAAGACAACCGGUAACGAAAAACAGCAUGUCAGCCAGGAAUUUCCAUGAAAUUUCAUAGCGCUUCAUACUCUUAUGUCCUCAGACGUGAGGUUUGGAAUUUCCAUGUAACCCGAUUCUGUAUUUUCCCCCAUAAAUCUUUCAGUGGAAGUUUACAAGCUUUACACUUUUUUCUAGAAUAUGCUUCUUUUCAUGCAGUGCAUCCUUUAACAGUUUCUUUUUGUUGUAUUUUUGGAGCUAUUUUAGUCAAGGCGAUUUUCACCGGAUAUCUCAAGUUUCUCAAGUCUUUUGUGUUGGUUGCUAAAACCAAAUUUUAAUCCAUUAUUUUCUACAUUUGGAUCCCAUUUAGACCCUGCAUUACCACACAACCUGCAUGCACAACAAUCGAUUCAAUCUGAUAUGCAUCUGAUGUUUAUAUGCGUUCUCAUUGUGUCGUCAUACCUCAUUAUAACUAUACUUCAUAUCUCCUAAAAUAAUCCACAUCAGCAAAAAUGCUGUUCUUUUCUGUCUUAUUUAGGGAUUCAUUUAUAUCUUUUCUUUUGACCGAGUACAAGUAUGUUCUUCAGUACUCUUUGAUACGGAUGCAAAUAUCUUACCUAGCAUUAAGAGAACAUCUUAGUUAGCUCUAUUUAUGUUAAUUGCUGCUGUGUGCUGCUAGCGAUGAAAUCCUCCUGUUGAGUUUUACAUGGACAAUGUUAUGGCGUUUAAACGGUAUCUUUAAUAGAGAGUGCACAGAGCAGUAUCAGAGAAAUGAGCACAAGGUGCCAUGAAUUACGCCUUGAGUCACAAGCAAAGUGUAGACACUGGUAGACAUGGUAUCAGUCAGUGGGGAAAAAAGGUCUCAGUGCUCGCAGACCUGGAGUGCUCGGACAGUUUCUCUGCACGCUCACUUCACUGCUGCAUGCUUGUGUAUAUCUAUAUGUGCGCACGGUUCAAAGCACCUUGCAGUUAUUUUAAUGACCAUGCUCACAGAUACUGCUCUGUAUACUCAGGACAAUCACUCUUGUAACCUCUCAAUUUAGGAUACUGUUUAAAUAGCAUGAAGAUUUUAUAUCAGGUUACUUGUAUUGUAGGAAGAUGUUGUAGUUCAUCCUCUUGAUAUUUCCACAGAGCACAGUUUGCAGUCUUCUUUGCCAUGAUUGACAUCAAUUAUGACUGCUGUUAUUUAGAGGUCGACCGAUUGAUCGGUUUUGCAGAUUAAUAGACACAGAUAAUCGAUUUCUGGAACUAUCGGUUACCUGCAAAAAUCCACACCAAUAGUUUUCCCAGUUGUGUCUGUUGAAGGAGCGGUUGAGAAAGGUCAGCUGUCAUUAUACAGUACAAGAGCGGCCUCUAGAGGCGAAAUAAAAAGUAUCAAUGACAAAUAUUGUUGUGUUAUUUUCAGUGUUUUUUAUUCAUUUUGGAGGCCUCUAUUUUUAUUUAUGUUAAUUUUGUUUCAGUUUAGAUGUACAUCUUUAAUUUACUGUAAAAUUUAUUAGUAGUUAUAUACAUGUUGAGUUAUUUUGAGGGGACAGCAAAUUUACACUGUUAUACAAGCUGUACACUCACUACAUUACAUUGUAGCAAACUGUCAUUUCUUCAGUGUUGUCACAUGAAAAAAUAAUCAAAUAUUUACAAAAAUGUGAGGGGAUUACUCACUUUU
Ictalurus punctatus (channel catfish) is the source of this 3645-nucleotide long non-coding RNA. Lineage: Eukaryota; Metazoa; Chordata; Actinopteri; Siluriformes; Ictaluridae. The record is from Ensembl.